Molecule: ribosomal RNA, 397 nt
Filed under: uncultured bacterium
Lineage: Bacteria
Description: partial 16S ribosomal RNA
Rfam family: Bacterial small subunit ribosomal RNA
Source: RNAcentral
AUAUUGGACAAUGGGCGAAAGCCUGAUCCAGCCAUGCCGCGUGUGUGAAGAAGGUCUUCGGAUCGUAAAACUCUGUCCUUGGUGAAGAUAAUGACGGUAGCCAAGGAGGAAGCCCCGGCUAACUACGUGCCAGCAACCGCGGUAAUACGUAGGGGGCUAGCGUUGUCCGGAUUUAUUGGGCGUAAAGGGUGCGUAGGCGGCCUUUUAAGUCAGAUGUGAAAGGCUACGGCUUAACCGUAGUUAGCAUUUGAAACUAAAAGGCUUGAGUGCAGGAGAGGAGAGUGGAAUUCCUAGUGUAGCGGUGAAAUGCGUAGAUAUUAGGAGGAACACCAGUGGCGAAGGCGACUCUCUGGACUGCAACUGACGCUGAGGCACGAAAGCGUGGGGAGCGAACAGG